CAGUCGCCGCGGUAAUACGUAGGGUGCGAGCGUUAAUCGGAAUUACUGGGCGUAAAGCGUGCGCAGGCGGUUGUGUAAGACAGGUGUGAAAUCCCCGGGCUUAACCUGGGAACUGCGCUUGUGACUGCACAGCUAGAGUAUGGCAGAGGGGGGUGGAAUUCCACGUGUAGCAGUGAAAUGCGUAGAGAUGUGGAGGAACACCGAUGGCGAAGGCAGCCCCCUGGGCCAAUACUGACGCUCAUGCACGAAAGCGUGGGGAGCAAACAGGACUAGAUACCCCUGUAGUCCCUGUCUCUUAUAC
RNAcentral lists this ribosomal RNA (301 nucleotides) under uncultured bacterium. RNAcentral describes it as "partial 16S ribosomal RNA". It matches the Rfam family "Bacterial small subunit ribosomal RNA", at positions 509 to 807 of the family's 1533-position model. The record is from RNAcentral.